This 2213-nucleotide long non-coding RNA is filed under the name Bos taurus (domestic cattle). Its description in RNAcentral is "long non-coding RNA NONBTAT030057". Lineage: Eukaryota; Metazoa; Chordata; Mammalia; Artiodactyla; Bovidae. The record is from RNAcentral.
AAAUUCCUGAAUUAUUUAUCAUGUCUAAGCAAUAUUAUGUACUAGUCACAUGGCACAUGGAAUUCCUCAGUCCUUGAAUUAAUUCCAGUGAAGCAAAACUUGUAGAGUCAGAAUUGUCUCUAAUGAAUCCCUACUUUGAGAAGUGUCAUCUUAAAAAACCCUACAAGACAUUUUGGGAGUCACCUAACGCAAGUGUUUUAUAUUACUCAGGUACCAUCAUGAAUAAUUCUGUGAGGUUAUGAUGUAGCUGAAAAUUCUGGAAGCUAAUGACUAUCUGAGUGUGCCCUAAAUAAGUGUUCUCCAGUGCCCCAGUGGGCAGCAUAUCCAUCUCCUUGUUGAGAUGCCAGAUCAAGGUGGGUGAAUGAUGCUUUAACCACCUGCUACAGCUCAUCCCUAGCCUGUGCUGGUGUCAGAGGCAACCAGGAAGCCUGCACAAGGCCAGGGUGUUUCUUCUGCCCACACGACCUUCUCACACCCCUCUUCAGCCACUGUGAUCCCCAAAAACCCAGGGCUGUGUAUCCGAAACCAUAAUAUAGGACAGUUUCUGUCAGGGCAACAUAAGAGGAGAUUAGAGCUUGAAUUUAAAAGCCACAAAGCAAUAACAAUAAAAAAGCUAAGCUUUUAUGGAGACAGUCAGGACCGCAAGCACAAGUGCAGGUGGAAAAUGAUGACUUUGGGUCUGAUUCCAUGGCACCAUGCAAGAGAAUCAAUGAUGAAUCACGUGGUAGUCUGCACUGAGCUGCUGGCACCUGAACGCCAGCCAUUUGUCUUCCACCAGCCUGAGCCGUGGCAUGUUCUCAGUCAGUGACAUUCCCGGCUCCUUCUAACUUCUUGAAAUUUCAACAUCAAAUGAUCUUCCUCAAAUCAGAUGAACAUGUAAUAUUAGAAACGAUUCUCCCUGUGUAGUAGGGGUGGAUUCCCCAGCACAGGAGCAUGAAAAUGCUCACGUGUGUGUUGGGACUGUUCCCACACCUUUGCAAUCAUUAUCAUCUUAAUUCUUACUCCAACCUUAGGGGGCAGGUGUUUGUAGUUGAUGGAACUGCACCUCGGGAGACUGAUGAACAUUACCCACAGCACGGAGCAGGUGAAUAGGGGGCCGGAAGCAACAGUUAGACCCCCCACAGCACAGAGCAGGUGAAUAGGGGGCCGGAAGCAACAGUUAGACCCCCCACAGCACAGAGCAGGUGAAUAGGGGGCCGGAAGCAACAGUUAGACCCCCCACAGCACAGAGCAGGUGAAUAGGGGGCCGGAAGCAACAGUUAGACCCCCCACAGCACAGAGCAGGUGAAUAGGGGGCCGGAAGCAACAGUUAGACCCCCCCACAGCACAGAGCAGGUGAAUAGGGGGCCGGAAGCAACAGUUAGACCCCCGAAGACAGGUAGACCACUCUUACCUGUGUUCUUACUAAAGUGCUUUCAAUGUCUUUGGGGCACUAUUUGUUCCCCUAGAGCUUAUUUGUUCCCUUGAGAACAGGUGGUCAUCUUGGAACUCCUGCUUAAGAAUCAGAGAACUGAGCCUAGGGAAACCCUGGCUCCUCACACCCUGAGUUGAGCCUCACUGCACUGUGACCAUGAAGUCUAGGCUCAGACAGGCUUCAAGGACCUGCCACCCACCACUGUCCUAAUCCACCAUUCAUUCCCCAUCCCCUGUAAAGUCAUGCCAGGAACAACCACCUACUCCCCGACAACAGGCAGAUUUUCUUGAAAACGUCCAUCUAAUCGGUGUUUUUCAGAAAACAUUAGAGAAAGCAGCUUUACGCUCACUGUUUAAUGGCUUACAUUAAGAAGUAACUUGAUGCUCUAAUUUUGAAUACCCUUAUCUUAUCUAAUCUUUGAAUUUUGUCAUGUAAUUUAUUACUUCAUGAAAUUUACUUUUUAUGUGUUAAACUAAAAAUGUUACCCAAGUCAUUGGUGCACCUUUAACAAUUUUUUUUUCUUUUUUCUUUUUUUUAUCUUCUGGAGUAUGGAGGAUAGAAAAAUGUAACAGCUUUACUCGUCUCAUCUUUCUGUUAUAGGAUGAGUCAUGUACUUACAUUGCACAAAAUGUUUGUAAUAAAGCAAUGCUUUAAAAGUGUGUAUGUGCUUACUUUCAGAUAUUAACCAGUCAUAAAAUGAUAGAAUUUUAUAUUCCAGACCCUUUGAAGAAAUUGAAAAUAACAUUACUAUUAAAUGGGGAACAGGACAGAGUGUCCACUAACAACACUGAAAUAUUUU